AAAAAGAGAGAGAGAGAGAGAGAAAAAAAAAGAUGUUGAACGAGAAGAAGCCCUCGAAAGGUCAAUUUUGUUUCGUCCUAGUCAUCCUCUUCCUCCUUCCAUACUCUCACUUUUAACGAAGGAAGCCAGCAUAAAUAAAGAAGAAGGAAAGUUCCGAGAAGCAAAUCACAAAGGA
RNAcentral lists this non-coding RNA (175 nucleotides) under Protocruzia adhaerens. The record is from RNAcentral. Lineage: Eukaryota; Ciliophora; Spirotrichea.